This 550-nucleotide ribosomal RNA is filed under the name Saccharomyces cerevisiae (brewer's yeast). RNAcentral's name for it is "partial large subunit ribosomal RNA". It matches the Rfam family "Eukaryotic large subunit ribosomal RNA", at positions 89 to 653 of the family's 3401-position model. Lineage: Eukaryota; Fungi; Ascomycota; Saccharomycetes; Saccharomycetales; Saccharomycetaceae. The record is from RNAcentral.
GCGAGUGAAGCGGCAAAAGCUCAAAUUUGAAAUCUGGUACCUUCGGUGCCCGAGUUGUAAUUUGGAGAGGGCAACUUUGGGGCCGUUCCUUGUCUAUGUUCCUUGGAACAGGACGUCAUAGAGGGUGAGAAUCCCGUGUGGCGAGGAGUGCGGUUCUUUGUAAAGUGCCUUCGAAGAGUCGAGUUGUUUGGGAAUGCAGCUCUAAGUGGGUGGUAAAUUCCAUCUAAAGCUAAAUAUUGGCGAGAGACCGAUAGCGAACAAGUACAGUGAUGGAAAGAUGAAAAGAACUUUGAAAAGAGAGUGAAAAAGUACGUGAAAUUGUUGAAAGGGAAGGGCAUUUGAUCAGACAUGGUGUUUUGUGCCCUCUGCUCCUUGUGGGUAGGGGAAUCUCGCAUUUCACUGGGCCAGCAUCAGUUUUGGUGGCAGGAUAAAUCCAUAGGAAUGUAGCUUGCCUCGGUAAGUAUUAUAGCCUGUGGGAAUACUGCCAGCUGGGACUGAGGACUGCGACGUAAGUCAAGGAUGCUGGCAUAAUGGUUAUAUGCCGCCCGUC